RNAcentral lists this ribosomal RNA (565 nucleotides) under Pseudomonas aeruginosa. RNAcentral describes it as "partial 23S ribosomal RNA". It matches the Rfam family "Bacterial large subunit ribosomal RNA", at positions 940 to 1508 of the family's 2925-position model. The record is from RNAcentral. Lineage: Bacteria; Pseudomonadati; Pseudomonadota; Gammaproteobacteria; Pseudomonadales; Pseudomonadaceae.
CAACCCGAUGCAAACUACGAAUACCGAAGAAUGUUAUCACGGGAGACACACGGCGGGUGCUAACGUCCGUCGUGAAGAGGGAAACAACCCAGACCGCCAGCUAAGGUCCCAAAGUCAUGGUUAAGUGGGAAACGAUGUGGGAAGGCACAGACAGCCAGGAUGUUGGCUUAGAAGCAGCCAUCAUUUAAAGAAAGCGUAAUAGCUCACUGGUCGAGUCGGCCUGCGCGGAAGAUGUAACGGGGCUAAACCAUGCACCGAAGCUGCGGCAGCGACACUAUGUGUUGUUGGGUAGGGGAGCGUUCUGUAAGCCUGCGAAGGUGACCUGUGAGGGUUGCUGGAGGUAUCAGAAGUGCGAAUGCUGACAUAAGUAACGAUAAAGCGGGUGAAAAGCCCGCUCGCCGGAAGACCAAGGGUUCCUGUCCAACGUUAAUCGGGGCAGGGUGAGUCGACCCCUAAGGCGAGGCCGAAAGGCGUAGUCGAUGGGAAACAGGUUAAUAUUCCUGUACUUGGUGUUACUGCGAAGGGGGGACGGAGAAGGCUAUGUUAGCCGGGCGACGGUUGUCCC